RNAcentral lists this long non-coding RNA (4564 nucleotides) under Ficedula albicollis (Collared flycatcher). RNAcentral describes it as "lncRNA (ENSFALG00000027160.1)". The record is from RNAcentral. Lineage: Eukaryota; Metazoa; Chordata; Aves; Passeriformes; Muscicapidae.
CCCCCCCCCCCCCCCCCCCCCCCCCCCCCCCCCCCCCCCCCCCCCCCCCCCCCCCCCCCCCCCCCCGCUGCCGAGCCUUCCGCCGCCCGCCGGGCCCGGCGCUCCCGGCUGUGCCCCUUCUCCCCGUUGUUUGCCUACGAAAUCCCUUCCUUCGACACCCAACCUUCGCCCCCCUCUUCCUGUCUCCGCGCCAGGAAAACUGAGGCUUGCCCAGCAGGCCGAGGCCCCCCCCCCCCCCCCCCCCCCCCCCCCCCCCCCCCCCCCCCCCCCCCCCCCCCCCCCCCCCCCCCCCCCCCCCGAAAACUGAGGCUUGCCCAGCAGGCCGAGGCAGGGGCUGCCAUUGCUGCCUUUGCCAAAGCCACCCCAGUGUGCCGUGACACCAAAACUAACCAGGAAAAGGCCGAAAUUGUGGAUUAUGGACUUCUAGCGAAUCAGGGCUGCUGCUUGCUUCCCAGGAUGCAGAGCCAUUUGGGAAUAGCAAAGCUGUGCUUUCAACUCUUCCCCGUCGAAGUUAAAGGAAAGACCAUUGAUAAGUCUGAUGGAGAGUAAAUUAAGCUCCAGAUCCUGCAUCCAGCCUGCAAAGAGAACUAGAACCACCCAGCAUAGAAGGCACUGUACAUGACAGUGAAGUUCAGCUUCUGCAGAAGAUUUGUGGAGUAUCAAUGUCCAAUUCUAGACACUUGCACUGAUAAAAGAUUCCAGGUUUGAGUCUGAGAGACAGAGGCCAAAUAGAAGCCAAAUAAAAAUGUAUCUAUAUCAUCUGUGGUAUAUCUGAAUUUCCCCCUUUCUCCACCACCACCCCAAGAAUUACUCUUCAGUAAUUCAAGUUUGCAAGGCAAGAGUCAUUGUCUGUCCUCAGGUGAGGACAGGAAUUAACACCUGUUUGCAGAGACCUUUUUUCUGUUAAAAGACAACCAGCUGGAGGCCUCACCCAAGAAGAGGAAGAUCAGGAUUUUACCAUCUUUCAGCCUGAGGAAGUCCAAGCUCAAAGCUUUUACAUUUCAAGUGCCUCAACUACCAGGGCUGUUGUCACAUCCUGAGUUAACCUGCUGCUGUCCUAGCAAGUGUGUUUCUGGAUCAUGUCAGGACCCUACAGAGACUCAGCAGCCACUUUUUCCUAGUGGUAGGGCUGUUGCACUCAAGGCUAACUCUAUUGUGACCUUGGAUCAGAGAGCUGGGUGGGACAGAAGUGUAAGGCACCUCAAUGGGAUCCUAAUCCUCUUGGCUUGGGAACUGCAUUUCAGCCCCAGUUGUUGCCCCAGCUUCUUGCUGGAGCUGCAUGGACAGCAUGCUUGUGCCUGACCAUAAACUCACCAGUCCUGAGCCUGACCUCACUUUCAACCUGUCCUUGGACUGGUCUGAUGAUCUGGACUCGUGGUUGAACAUGGUCACUGUCACCAGACCUGCUUUGCUGGUUAGAGGGCUAUGGGAUGGGGCUGUGUCAGGGUGGGCACUGCCCUACCAACUUCACUUGGCUGCCAGCUCGGCUGAUUUCACAGAGCAACCCCCUCUUGCAGCUGUCUGACACUCAGUGUGUGGUUAAAAGGUUGUUAUGUUUAUGGAAGAUUUGUCCAUAUUGUCUGCCUUAGUUUAAUCAGCUUCAUAUAUCUGAGUGACUGCUCCAUUAAUAACCUGUGCUUCCAAAGGGUGCAUGGUACAUUGCUUUGUACAUGCACCACAGCCUAUUAUGAGGCUUAAUUCAAAAAGUAAUAUAUACAUCUAAAUUAUAGAUAAUUUACAAUUUGCAUUUUAAAAAGUAUUUAGAAAUGAGUCGUAAAGAAAAUAUGUGAGGUUUAAUACCUGUAGUAAUAGGUAUAAUAAUAGAAUAUAAUAAUGUGAGUUUAGGUAUCAAAGCAACAAGCAUUGCAACAUCUAGAUUUUCUUUGGUUCUCAAGAAAGAGACAUGAGAUGCUGGAAAUUCACAGUUAGAAUUAGAGCAAGGCCCAGGAAACUCAACACAGCGUGUGUGAAACUAUCCAGGCCUAUUCCCCCCACCAUGAGGGAAAGGAAGAGGAUUCACACACUUAAUCUCAUCUCUCAGUUACAAUUUAUAUACUCUCCUGAAGAUUCUUCCAAGGCUGGUGUGUAAACACUUUCUGUAAAUCAGAUAGAGGCCACUGCUACUUUUAAAACAAGCAGAAGAAAAAAAGGGUUUCUGAGCUACUAAUCCUUUUUUCAAGCAGUAUGUGAGUUUAUCAUAUACACAAACAACAACUGAGAUGCCAAGUUUCAAAUUCACCUUAUGCUUUGAGAAUUGAGCAGUGUAUCCAUUUCUUCUAGGCCCACAAGCCAAACAUAUACUUUCGUUUUACUGCACAGUUUACAUACAAAAGCUUACAAGGUGUCUGGGUAGUUGUGUCUCAGAAACUGUUUCACUUUAUAGAAAAUAGUAUUUUACUUUAGUAAUUGGAGAACAUAAACAUGAAUUUGUAUCUCUAAUUCUUUUAUUAAGGACUUUAUGAAGGAGGGGAGAACUCUGGGGCCUGUUUGAGUUUCAAAAGACUCUAUUACUUUUAUCUAGUGACUACCUGGCUAAUAGGAGAUACUGAAGUAAUCUUGGAUUUAGGCCUGCAAAUUCUUCAGAAACCCUAUUUUUAAAUGUUUUUUACUUAUUCUGGCUAAUUUUUUUCCUUAUUAUUUGUGUAGCCAUACUUCAAGGUGUCCUGUUACAAAUUCCUUUAAAGUGUAACAGUUUAUCUCCCUCUAUGUGCCUAAACGCAGCCAAACCAGGCUACUGGAUGUGCUGCUGUUUCUCUGGUCUGGGUGUUUAUAGGAGUGAGUGAAGGUCUAGGCGCUGGAAGCUUGAUUCAGUUGCUUAAACUUUUUGUCUGCCACUCAAGGAGGCUGGAAUAUCUUCAUGUCAGAUACGACACAACACCUAGAGGAGGCCAGUGCUUCUCCAGACUGGUGGCUGGAGGCCAGGUGGGAAUUUUAAAUGGCACUAGACUUAGAGGUGACAGCUGAGACCUGGGGGUAUGUUUCAGGUUCAGAGACAUAAUUUUAGGUGUCUACUUGCAGGUCUUUACAGAUCAGAUAAGCCUCCAUUAUCAUCAAGGGAGAUCAAGAUCUCAAUUUAAUUGCAGAGAGAGGCAUUUCAGAUGCCCAAGGUAGUUUUCAGAUUGCCCCAGAUACCUUUUUUCUGGUUUUCUGGAAUGGCAGCUAGAGGCUGACUCUGCUCUUAAGUAGAGGUGUAUCUGCCAGCUCCAGAAAGGCCAUACCCUGCUUUGUCUCAGAUGGAACUAGGGUGCUGUGUGAAGGCACCUCUGAGAUGAGUUCCAAGUCAGUACUGUCCUUAGAGUGAGCAGAUUUAUUCAGUUGAUGGGAUGAAUAAAUCUCCAUAAGAUGAGCUCAAAACUAAGCUCCAUCACUGAACAACAACAUUAAAAGCACAGUUGUCUCACCUUUUGUAAAAUUCCUUACUAUCCCUCUUAGCUCUGUACACAUUAUUCUUCACCGAUACGCUCAAUAAAGCAUCUAUUACCUUCCCACCAGUAUUUUGUACAUCCCAGUUUAGCCCCUCUCCCCCAUGAGCAAAUUACAGCUAUCUAGAGGAUCCCAUCUUUCUCCCUCCCUCCCUUUCUCCCAGCUCUCUCACAUUGUACCCAGCCUUGGGUUACUUUAUUCCUUUUACCCACACUGACCUUCAGGGUUCUUCACAUCCUCUGCUGCUCUGUGUGCCAUGGCUUUCAGAUCUGACUCACACGACCUUCACUUUGUGUACCAAAGCAAGGGAGUUGUUGAUUUUCCUUACAAAGAGAGGCCAGAAAUAUCACCACUAUCUUUUCACUACUUUUUCUUCUCUGAAAAGGGGACACAAUAUUAAUCUCAUAUUUAAACAUCUUCUUUUUGCAUAUUUUGUAUCAGAUUGCUGAAGUUCAGAUGGGUUCUAAGCAGUUCACUAAUGUAUACUCCUUGAGUUCUUAUUCUUUUAAUUAUUCACCUCGAUAUUUCUUGGCUUUUCUUACUGAAUGGGACUUUACAGUGUUUCCAUUAUUGGGGCAUCAAACACAAAAUUCAAUCAGUAACUGAGGGUUUUACAGGGUGUAAUACUGCAUUUGAAGAGUUUAUUAAAGUUUUCAGGGAGGGAAAAGGGAAGCUCAAUUUCAGAAGGAAACUGUGUGGUUAUUCUGCAGGAUAUAUUUACCAAUGAUAUUGUUGAGGUGACUUUGGAGGUGCAUGUGUUAAAAUUAGCAAUGAACAAGCAAAGUUUUGCCAAUAUUGAUUUUACAUUGCAAGGGAUGCAGCAUGACAGAUCUAAAUGAAGUUUGACAUAAAUAGUUUGAAGUUAGGAUAUUUAGGACCCUCAGAAACCUUGAAUUCCCUCUUAUGUGUGUAUGAACAUGUGUCAUGUAUGUGAGCUAACCAUCAAAAUAUUUCACUUUGAAAAUCUUGCCUGAAAAAUCAGGGUGUCCACAGCUGCUGUAGAAGUCAGGCGUUAUGAAGGGUUAAGCCUUACUGUGUGGGGUUUAUUCUCAUCCAGAGUCUGAGGUUAAGGCAAGGAGGAAAGCUGUUAAUAUUUCAGAUUUAGAAUUUAGCACUGCUGCCUAUCAAGUCCUCUGCUUUU